GCGGCGCGCCGCCAGGAACCCCCGCGCCACCGCCGCCGCGCCUGCCUCCAGCAGCUCUCGGCCACGCGACCGUGCGGUCAGCGGCGCUUGGAGGGCGGCCGGAGCUGGGCCUGAGCCUGGAGACUCGCCUGAUCCCGGGCGGCCGAACCACCAUCACCACAACCGCCCCACCCCCGCCGUCGCCUCGUGGGGCCCCGGCCCCCUCCCGGGUCCCCUUCUCUCCUCAGACAUGGUGGGAUGUACUCUGAUCUAGAGCAGGCAGCUGGCCAGAGGCCCACAGGGAGCUCAGUGAUUGGCCUCAGAUGACCUUGGGGACAAAGAUUGUCCUGUGAAGGGAAGUGAUGGCACAGGCUCUGAUCAGCUCUUCUGGGAACAGACAGAGAAGUGAGAAUUCCUGCCAAAGCCACAGGAUGAACACAGAGCCAAGAACCUGAACCAGAAAAAUCCAGCAGGAAAGGAACCUGCACUAGCCACCAUCCUGAGGCUGCUGUACAGGGAGCAAUCCUACCGCAGGGACUUGGCAGGAGACCAGGGGCCUGCUCCCCAGUCCUCCUCGAGGGCCUCUGUCACCGACCUGCUUGUCUAGGAUCUCCUUUCUUUCUGCUUGUGCCACAUCUUUCAGGCCUGUUCUGGGUCUGAUGUGCUAUAGAACACUCUGUUCAGGCACUUGGGAAAUAGAGACUUCAUCACCAGCAUUUCCACCCCCAAAGAACUAGGCAGCACACUGGGAAGUUGCCAAAGGAAGGGACUCCAGCCUCCCAGGAGUUAACAACAUUUCUCCCCAGCUAUCCUCCCCUUGGUGCUCCUCUUCCUCCCUCCUCCUGCUCACAGCAGGCAGGGCCUGGAACCAGGAGCCAUGCUGCUGUGCUGUUGCCAGGGGAGCUGGGAGGCAGAUCGGAGCUAUGCAGGGAAAAGGCUCGGCCUGUCAGAGUGUCUGAGAUGAACCACCGCCAUCCCUGUGCAGCUGGGCUCCAUGUGUCUCAGGGCUCUUGUUCUGUGCCUGAGAACGGUGAAGCCCAGCGAGGUUCAAGGGCACACUCGCUAUUCAUCAGUCGGGGGUUCUUGACGGUCCUGCCUCUCCCAGGGAUGGGUUCCCCCCUUCCUCUUUCUCUCCCUCCUAUGAUACAUUCCUGGGUGCCUGUGGUGAGGACUGCACACCCCCUUCUCCACAGCCCCCCCAAACCCUGAAUCAACUCCUAUUAAGGAGGCCAGGCGAGACAGGGACAAUGGCUUCAAGAAAUCAUUCAGGCGGGACCUCAGUCACAUUCGCAUGCCCGUCACUCCCAGAGCCCCUGUAGAUCCCACUCUGCUGUGAUUCAGGGACCCUUGGGCCCCCAGCUUGCACAUGCCUAGACAGGAGCAGGCCACUAGGUGCUGCCCUACACAACAGGCCAGUGCAGUGUUUGUUCUCAGGGACCCUGGGGCCUCCAUCCCACUGGCUGGAUAGUGUGUGCAGUCAGUUGGAGAGCAGAAACUACAAUAUUUUCUGAAAUGUGGUAAUAUCAAGAUAUAAGAGGCACAUAUACGUGAUGACUAAUUUCACUUCAGAUAUACUGGAAAAGUUUGCUAAGAACAUGGACAAAGACCUGUGGUUGAGUAACGAGUCAUUUCAUUCCAUGGAAUAUUACACACCUGUAAGACUGUGGUAGAUCUACCUCUGCAUGCAGGCUGAUAGGGAAGGUUGCUAAUAUACUUAAGUGAAUAGAAUAAAGUACAAAACAGUCAA
This 1726-nucleotide long non-coding RNA is filed under the name Mus musculus (house mouse). RNAcentral describes it as "Mir9-3 host gene". Lineage: Eukaryota; Metazoa; Chordata; Mammalia; Rodentia; Muridae. The record is from RNAcentral.